This is a long non-coding RNA of Pelmatolapia mariae (spotted tilapia), 323 nucleotides long. RefSeq lists it as uncharacterized. NCBI's taxonomy places the organism in Eukaryota, Metazoa, Chordata, Actinopteri, Cichliformes, Cichlidae. The transcript has 2 exons. The record is from RefSeq and is a predicted model, not a curated record.
UUACAAAGGAGCUGGCCUCUGUACUCAACUGGGCAGGGGAAAAAAUACCAAGGACCAGACAAAGCAAAAAAGGGCAUUUAAAGAGACAGCGCUGUGCAGAUGCAUAUUUGAUGGCCUGGCGCAGCAGGUAGGGGCGAACUCUAUGUCUGAGUUGGUCUUUGCUCAAGCAGUCCAGAAAUGGCUCAGAUAUGCUCCAGAUCGUACGGGUGGCGCGCAGGACGCCCAUCAUCCAUCCCCAUCCCGGAGUAAAUAAUAAAAAGUGACGUGAAACAUAGAAAUGUAAAUAGGAAACUUUGUCUUUUAAUAAAGUAUUUUGCAAAUGA